GUUGAUCCAAAUUUGCGUGGAACAAAUCCAAUAAAGAUAAAAUCUUUCAAAUUCUCAACUCAACAUAAUUUUAUCAAUUCGAUUUAUUAUCUGUUUUUGUUUAAGAAAAUCAGAUUUUCUGCCCUCUAUUUCCUCCUUUCAUGGAGAACUGUCAGUCGUCGUCAUCAAUGGUACUCUGAAAUGACGGAAAGCUCCCUCUAACAUAGUCCAGAUCAGGGGCAGUUAACGUCAAAUUAGAAAUAUAGGAAAAGUAUCUAAGAAUAAAAUAUUACUAUUACAAUAAUAAUAUAAUAAGGUUGACAGUAUCAUCAUAGAAGCAAAAGCGAGAAGUCCGUUUUCUUCUUUCCUGAGCCAAUCGUUAUUCAACUAUUUUAUGCCCAAAGAGGAAUUAGGGUUUAUUUCAGUUCAAGAACGAGCGUAUCAGAAACAAAUUAUUUAUUCGAAGCCGAAGCCUUGUGGUCAAUUGCUAAAACCCUAAUUCCUGAGUUGAAUUGCUUGCUUCUGGAGCAUAUUUGAUUGGAAUUUGUGCUUGGCGAAGCUCACAUUUACCUCUUGGAUCUCUCUGUUUCAUCGAGAGAUAAUGCUGUACCUACGCACUUGUUGCUAAUUGAUGGAUCCUGAUUGCAAGAGUUUUGGAAGAGGGGCCAGAGAACUUACAGGUGCUGUGGAUCUUAUCAGUCAUUUCAAAUUGUUGCCUCAUCACGAGUUCUUCUGCAAGAGGUCACUUCCGUUGUCUAUUUCAGAUACCCACUAUCUUCACAAUGUGGUGGGAGACACAGAAAUUAGGAAAGGGGAAGGGAUGCAGUUGGAUCAGCUUAUACAGGACACUUCCUUGUCAAGAGAGACGAGUUCCCGCAUCCAGCCAUUUGACCUAGAUGUUCUUGGAGAAGCUUUUCAACUACGUGAAGCGGCUCCAGUUGUUCUGCCUCCUUCUGAGAAAGGCAUCCCAACUGUAGCUGGAAAAUCUAUAAGUGAGUCGAAAGACAAGGAUAAGAAGCGUAAAAAGCACAAAGAUAAGGACAAGGAGAAGGACAAAGAGCAUAAGAAAAACAAACAUCGGCAUAAAGAUCGAAGCAAAGACAAGGAUAAAGAGAAAAAGAGAGAUAAAAAUGGUCAUCAUGAUUCUGGUGCUGAUCAUUCGAAGAAACAUCGUGAGAAGAAAAGGAAGCAUGAUGGAGAGGAUCUUAAUGACGUUCACAAACACAAGAGAAGCAAGCACAAGAGCUCAAAGAUUGAUGAGAUUGGUGCAGUAAAGGUAGCAGCCUGAAAUAUGGCGUGUGGUUCUAUCAUUUGUUUAAUCCUCAGACUUUGCAGUUGAGAAUUUCGAGGGAUCCUUUACUUAGUAUUGUGAAAAAUCUGAGGGUUUAUGUGGGCGCUUCUGUUUGUGAAAUCCCAAGAGUUAUUCUGCAUGGGACAUUAGUUUGAUGUGUAAUGAAAUGGGACAUUGGUACUGUGUGGAAAUGUGGUAUUCAUUACAAGCGAGGCAAUUGAAGCAUUAAUAAAAAGUGCCUAUGUGUCCUUUUUCAGUGGCGUAUUCUGUUAGUCUGCCCCCUUUUUGAUCGGUCAGCAACACCUUACAAAGGUUUAUUUGACAUGAAUUGCCUUUGGACUAACUAAAGAUUUCCAAGAAGGUGAAUUCACCUGUUGAAGUAGAUUGUAGUGCACGGUACAACUGUUGAAAAGCACCAGAAUGUGUAAUAUAAAAAAAGGACUUUCUUAUAGUUGGUAAUGACACCGGUAACCUUGAUCCCUUCAUUCAGCUUUAGUGACUUACUGCAUGGUGUGUUGUGGUCAUUUGUGUGCUCUCCCUCUUUCAAAUGCUCUAAUCUCCAGGCUUAGUGUUUAACCAGCAGCUUUGGGUAAUACGAAAAGAAGUUUUGAUAUGAGUGCUGGUGUGGUCUUUUCUGAUUUGUCCUUCCCAUUGAGCUUGAAGGUGAUCCCUCAUCAGCAGUCAAAUACCCAAACAUGGGAGGGGAAAAUGUUUAAAAGGAUGUCUAUAUGUACAAUGCUAGGAAUUCUGCUCGUCAUGGCUAGAUAUUCUUGUAUAUACUAAGCUAGAAAUGAGAUCAAAUAAUUGUUUGACAUGAAAUCCUGGUAAUAUAUGUAUUCAUGUUUUGCUAAACUGGCGCUCCUUGUGCUAAUAGAUCCUAUCGUUCUUGGA
RNA transcript from Nicotiana attenuata, 2161 nucleotides. It is a transcript of the gene named mediator of RNA polymerase II transcription subunit 19a-like, with no coding region annotated. The transcript is spliced from 8 exons. NCBI's taxonomy places the organism in Eukaryota, Viridiplantae, Streptophyta, Magnoliopsida, Solanales, Solanaceae. The record is from RefSeq and is a predicted model, not a curated record.